RNAcentral lists this unclassified non-coding RNA (2159 nucleotides) under Caenorhabditis elegans. Its description in RNAcentral is "Non-coding transcript of protein-coding gene F13B12.3b". Lineage: Eukaryota; Metazoa; Nematoda; Chromadorea; Rhabditida; Rhabditidae. The record is from RNAcentral.
AUGAACCUCGACGUUCCAUCCGGUCGUCGGAAAACUAUCAAAUUUAGAACAAGAAAUUUUUCUAUUGAGGAUGAUAAAUAUUGGAUACAACCGUCACGAUGCACUUCCGUAGAUAUGUCGUCAAGGGAAAUUAUUAAUAAGCUGAACGAAAUGGAACAAGAAGAGAAGCUGUUCAUAACAUAUGAUGUCAUUGAACGUAAUCCAAAGUUUGCAACGGUCGGUGGAUCAAUCUUUGAAUUCAUCAACAACACGAUGCAACCUAUUCUUAAAUGUCAUCUAUCGCAAGUUAAAGACACAAACAUGUUGCACUUAAUCGCGUCUUCCUUCUUCAAAAGCUCAGGAGCGAUCUUCACGAGAUUUGGGCUAAAUGCGAGUAUCCGAUUUUUGCUGGGUUACUAGUGGUGUACGUCAGUGAAAAAAUGAGGAAAUUGUUUUCGGGACAACACGAGCCGGUCAUUGCCGAAGCAUUUGAAAAGAUUCAAAAUUCGUUUGACGAUGAAUGCACUGCACUUCUAGAUCAAUGUUUUCAUACAAGUGAACGAGACACUAGAGCUGUAUUGGAUACAAAUUAUCAUUUAUUUAUCCAUACAGAUGGAUGCCCUUCAGUUGAAGAGGAUAUGGAAGUGAUGGCAUUAGCGUCGGCGGCGAAGGCAAAAAACUUCCUAUCUCAUCCAGCAUGCCAACGAGAAAUUGACUUUCGAUGGCAGCCUGGUUUCAAAUUAGGACAAAUGGCAUUCUUCUUAUUUUUCUUUUUUCCGCCGUUGUUUUUCUUACGCGGAAAGCAGAGAAUCAAGAAACGAGAAAUCAAAACAAUGAUGUUGAAAAUGGAUCAUUCUGGGAAUAUGACUUCUAUUACUUAUAGUAAUUUUCUUAUUCGAGUCUACAAUUUCUAUACAUCUCCAAAUGCAAAAUAUGUUAUUCACACUCUUUUUCGGUUAAUAUACGUGAUAUUCUAUGCAUACGUUUUGAUGACAAUGACACGAAAAACAAUGGUUAUGAAUGAAUUAGACGAGUUUUUGGAUGAAAUGGCUAUUAUAGUUUGGCAGUGUGCAUAUCUAACUGAAAUGGCUGUAUUGGUUUAUCAAAGAGGUUUCUAUAAUUGGGCUGAACGAAAUACAGCUGAUCUUUACCGUAACUAUUUGGUUGCAAUGACAAUGAUAGCCUGGUCUGUAGCUGUAAUUGCUCCUCCAACAUGGCCUAUUCGAGCUUUUGCAAUCAUUUCUGCCGACUUAUUCUUUUAUUUUUCUUUCGUUUUUGCAACUCUCCGACUCAUGAAAAUUGCAAAUGUCGAUGCAUUUUUUGGUUCAAUUGUCCUUAUGAUCAAGAAAAUGAUUCCAAUAAUGGUCAAAUUUAUGUUUGUGUUUAUGGUAUUUUGGUUCACCUAUGCAGUUUGUCAUAUCAGUUUGGCGGGGCAUUUGAAGAGUACUCCAAAUAUAACCGAUGUCGUUUGGCCUUGGCUGAUUUUCAGUAGUGGUGCAUUUGAAAUUUUUGGAGAAGCUGAUGAGGAGGAUAAACUAGGGACUGUCAGUAAAUGCUCGUCAGCACCUCUGAACUGGGACGUCAUUACUGAUUCUUCGGUACAAUGCUGGUUCAAAACAAGUAUGAUACCUGUAUUCUUAUUCUGUUACAUGUUGGUCUCAAGUGUACUCCUUGUGAAUUUGGUUACCGCACUCUUAUCGAAAAAGUAUGAAGAUAUUGACAAAGUUUCACAUAUUUACUGGAAAUAUAAACUGUAUAGUCGGUUGAUUGAGUAUGAAGAAAAAUUAUGGAUUCCUGCACCACUCUCGUUGCUCUUUUACAUUCUCAAAACUUUUUGCUUUUUUCUAUCAAAAAUUCCAAUCAUUGGAGUUAUACCCAAUUACUUUAUGAAAAUUUUACACAUUUUCGAAGGGAAAGUAUAUGCAAAAGAAAGGAGGAAAAAUCGAAAAUAUGAAGCAGUAAUGAAUGGAUUAAUAUCUAACCCGAAUCGAUGGGAUGGUCCUACAGAAGAUGAGAAAAAGUCAGUGGAAUUAGUCAGAGAGCAAAUGAGCAUUUUGGAAGCUGACCGUAAAAGGAAACGCCUCGAGACGGACCUCAUUCGAACUAGAUUUGAGGAGAUUAUGUCUGAAAUUGAAAACACGAACCGGUUCAGAAGAAUACGAUCUCAAACAACGUUCUAG